UACGUAGGGUGCGAGCGUUGUCCGGAAUUAUUGGGCGUAAAGGGCUCGUAGGCGGUCUGUCGCGUCGAAAGUGAAAACCCAGGGCUUAACCCUGGGCCUGCUUCCAAUACGGGCAGACUAGAGGUAUGCAGGGGAGAACGGAAUUCCUGGUGUAGCGGUGAAAUGCGCAGAUAUCAGGAGGAACACCGGUGGCGAAGGCGGUUCUCUGGGCAUUACCUGACGCUGAGGAGCGAAAGUGUGGGGAGCGAACAGG
RNAcentral lists this ribosomal RNA (253 nucleotides) under uncultured bacterium. Its description in RNAcentral is "partial 16S ribosomal RNA". It matches the Rfam family "Bacterial small subunit ribosomal RNA", at positions 524 to 776 of the family's 1533-position model. The record is from RNAcentral.